RNAcentral lists this long non-coding RNA (2533 nucleotides) under Manihot esculenta (cassava). RNAcentral's name for it is "long non-coding RNA (MESC_LNC007186)". The record is from RNAcentral. Lineage: Eukaryota; Viridiplantae; Streptophyta; Magnoliopsida; Malpighiales; Euphorbiaceae.
UAAAUAUUUGUGAUUUGCUGUUGAUUGCUGAAUUUGUGUACUCUUAAUUGUUGAAUUUGUGUGCUGUUGAUUGUUGAAUUUGUAUGCUCUUGAUUAUUGAAUUUGAUUCAGCAAAGGUGUCUUGUUAUUGAAUUUGUAUGCUCUUGAUUAUUGAAUUUGAUUCAGCAAAGGUGUCUUGUUAUUGAAUUUGUGUGCUCUUGUUCAUGUAUUUGUUGAGAACCUGGAAUCUAAAGCCAGGAGAUAGCUAUCACAAAUAAAAAAAACACAAGAAAAUUCACAGCUUGCAGAUACUGUAUUUAUAUCUUGUGCUAAAGAAAGAAAAUUCUUUCUUCUCUUUGAAUUGCCAUAAAAAGGAUUGAAAAUCCUAUUCUUUCCGUCAAUAGAUCCCAAAAAAGAAGAAACACUGCUUGCUGAAAAAAAAAGUCAACUUUAAGAAGCUAUGGCCAAUCAAAUUCAUAGCUCCUGGGUAUGCAUCUCGUUAGUUUCUUUUAUGUCAUUGAAGUUUAUUUUAUUAAGUUCUCUAUAUUUUAAUUAGGGAUGUCAGGCGGGCAGCUUUUUACGGGUACCCGAUCCGCCCAAACCCUAUUAGAACGGAUUUGGAUUUUUACAAAACCGAUUUGGGCGGAUUCGGAUUUAAAAAAUUUUACCCGUUUCGGAUUCGGGUAGGGUUCGGAAUUAGGUAAUCGGAUACCCGUUACCCGAACCCGAUUACCUAUAUUAAGAAACUAACCCUAAUUUCCUUUUUCAUUUUACUCUUUCCUCUCUCCGUCGGCUCCUCUCUCCCUUGCGUCCCUUUCCUCUCUUCGUCGACGCCUCUCGCGUUCCUUUCCUCUCGCGCCUCUCUCCCUCGCGUCCCUUUCCUCUCUUCGUCGACGCCUCUCCCCCACUUCACUGACGACUGCCGGGCAGCCCAGUCGGCACCGGCUACGUUUCCUUUCUCUCCCCGAUAAAUCUUCUCUCUCCACAGUGCGAUAUCUCCUUCUCUCUCUCCCGUCGGCGACAUCUCCCACUUCCCAGUCAAGGCCUCUCCCCCACUUCACUGACGAGUGCCGGCAGUCGGCACCGGCGACGUCUCCUUUCUCUCCUCAGUCGACGAUAAAUCUUCUCUCUCCCCGGUCAACGAUAUCUCUUCUCUCUCUCCAGCGGCGGCAUCUCCGACUGGUAAGUGGGAGACAACUCUUCCCUCUCCUUCUACUGCUAUUUCUUGUUGUUGAACAUUUCUCCUUCUACUCCUUCUACUGUUGGGUUUGCUGGGUCUGCUGGGUCUGCUGGGUCUGCUGGGUCUGCUGGGUCUGCUUGGUCUGCUUGGUCUGCUUGGUCUGCUUGGUCUGCUUGGUCUGCUUGGUCUGCUGGGUCUGCUGGGUCUGCUGGGUCUCUUGGGUAUGCAUCUCGUUAGUUUCUUUUAUGUCAUUGAAGUUUAUUUUAUUAAGUUCUCUAUAUUUUAAUUAGGGAUGUCAGGCGGGCGGCUUUUUACGGGUACCGAUCCGCCCAAACCCUAUUAAAACGGAUUUGGGUUUUUACAAAACCGAUUUGGGCGGAUUCAGAUUUAAAAAAUUUUACCCGUUUCGGAUUCGGGUAGGGUUCGGAAUUAGGUAAUCGGAUACCCGUUACCCGAACCCGAUUACCUAUAUUAAGAAACUAACCCUAAUUUCCUUUUUCAUUUUACUAUUUCCUCUCUCCGUCGGCUCCUCUCUCCCUUGCGUCCCUUUCCUCUCUUCGUCGACGCCUCUCGCAUUCCUUUCCUCUCGCGCCUCUCUCCCUCGCGUCCCUUUCCUCUCUUCGUCGACGCCUCUCCCCCACUUCACUGACGACUGCCGGGCAGCCCAGUCAGCACCGGCUACGUCUCCUUUCUCUCCCCGAUAAAUCUUCUCUCUCCAUAGUGCGAUAUCUCCUCUCUCUUCCGUCGGCGACAUCUCCCACUUCCCAGUCAAGCCUCUCUCCCCCACUUCACUGACGAGUGCCGGCAGUCGGCACCGGCGACGUCUCCUUUCUCUCCUCAGUCGACGAUAAAUCUUCUCUCUCCCCGGUCAGCGAUAUCUCUUCUCUCUCUCCAGCGGCGGCAUCUCCGACUGGUAAGUGGGAGACAACUCUUCCCUCUCCUUCUACUGCUAUUUCUUGUCAUUGAACAUUUCUCCUUCUACUCCUUCUAUUGCUGGGUUUGCUGGGUCUGCUGGGUCUGCUGGGUCUGCUUGGUCUGCUUGGUCUGCUUGGUCUGCUUGGUCUGCUGGGUCUGCUGGGUCUGCUGGGUCUUUGAAUUGAUUAUAUUUGAUUAAUGUAAUACUGUUGAUUUUUAGAAUUUAUGAAUAAUUAAUGGUUAUAAAUCAUUAUUUGCUGGAUUGCUGCUGAGUUGCUGGUUUUUGUCAUUGAACAUUUCUCCUUUUACUGCUGGGUUUGCUGGGUUGUGCUGGGUUGUGCAAAUGUUAAGAAGUUUAUUUGCUAGUUUAUUGAAUUUAAAAAAUCGGAUUCGGGUAUUGUGGGGGUAUUGUUAAACGGAUUUGGGACGGGUUCAGAUAAUAAAAUUAAAAUAUUAAAC